RNAcentral lists this ribosomal RNA (604 nucleotides) under Porpopycnis lubae. RNAcentral describes it as "LSU rRNA". It matches the Rfam family "Eukaryotic large subunit ribosomal RNA", at positions 47 to 632 of the family's 3401-position model. The record is from RNAcentral. Lineage: Eukaryota; Fungi; Basidiomycota; Agaricomycetes; Auriculariales.
UAAGCGGAGGAAAAGAAACUAACAAGGAUUCCCCCUAGUAACGGCGAGUGAAGAGGGAAAAGCUCAAAUUUAAAAUCUGGCGGUCUUCGAUCGUCCGAGUUGUAGUUUAGAGAGGUGCUUUCCGCGCUGGACCGUGUACAAGUCCCCUGGGAUGGGGCGUCAUAGAGGGUGAGAAUCCCGUCCAUGACACGGACUGCCAGUGCUAUGUGAUGCGCCUUCAAAGAGUCGAGUUGUUUGGGAAUGCAGCUCAAAAUGGGUGGUAAACUCCAUCUAAAGCUAAAUAUUGGCGAGAGACCGAUAGCGAACAAGUACCGUGAGGGAAAGAUGAAAAGAACUUUGGAAAGAGAGUUAAACAGUGCGUGAAAUUGCUGAAAGGGAAACGCUUGAAGUCAGUCGCGUUCGGCGGGACUCAGCCUUGCUUCUGCUUGGUGCAUUUCCUGUCGGACGGGUCAGCAUCGAUUUUGACCGCUGGACAAUGGAGGGAGGAAUGUGGCACCCUCGGGUGUGUUAUAGCCUUUUUUCGUAUACGGCGAUUGGGAUCGAGGACUGCAGCGCGCCUCUGGUCGGGGGUUCUCCCCACGUAUCGCGCUUAGGAUGCUGGCGU